GGAGCCGUAGCGAAAGCGAGUUUUAACUGAGCGUUCAGUUACUUGACGUAGACCCGAAACCGGGCGACCUACCCAUGAGCAGGAUGAAGCGAAAGUAAAAUUUCGUGGAGGUCCGAACCCACGAGCGUUGAAAAGCUCGGGGAUGACUUGUGGGUAGCGGUGAAAUUCCAAUCGAGCCCGGAGAUAGCUGGUUCUCCCCGAAAUAGCUUUAGGGCUAGCCUCAAGGUGAGAGAUACGGAGGUAGAGCACUGAAUGUCCUAGGGGGUAUUGCACCUACCGAAGACUAUCAAACUCCGAAUGCCGUCAUCUUAUACUUGGGAGUCAGACUGUGGGUGAUAAGAUUCAUAGUCGAAAGGGCAACAGCCCAGAUCGUCAGCUAAGGUCCCUAAAUGUAAGUUAAGUGGUAAAGGAUGUGGGAUUGCACAGACAACCAGGAUGUUGGCUUAGAAGCAGCCACUCAUUCAAAGAGUGCGUAAUAGCUCACUGGUCGAGUGAUCCUGCGCCGAAGAUUUCCGGGGCUAAAACUUACUACCGAAGCUACGGCAUCAGUAAUGAUGGGUAGGGGAGCUUCCCAUACGGGUUGAAGCAUGACCGUAAGGACAUGUGGACAGUAUGGGAGUGAGAAUGUUGGCAUGAGUAGCGAGAUGUGGGUGAGAAUCCCACAGGCCGUAAACCCAAGGUUUCCAGGGGAAGGUUCGUCCGCCCUGGGUUAGUCGGGACCUAAGCUGAGGCCGAAAGGCGUAGGUGAUGGACAACAGGUUGAUAUUCCUGUACUACCGAUAACCGUUUGAGAGAAGGGAUGACACAGUAGGAUAAGCUAAGCACACUGUUGGUUAUGUGUGCCCAAGCAUUGAGGCAGUCAAAGUAGGCAAAUCCGCUUUGAUAAUGCUGGGAUGUGAUGGGGAGCGAAAUUUAGUAGCGAAGUAGCUGAUUUCACACUGUCAAGAAAAGUCUCUAUCGAGGUUAAAGGUACCCGUACCGCAAACCGACACAGGUGGGUGAGGAGAGUAUCCUAAGGCCAGCGAGAGAACUGUUGUUAAGGAACUCGGCAAAAUGACCCCGUAACUUAGGGAUAAGGGGUGCCACCAUCAGGUGGCCGCAGAGAAUAGGCCCAAGCGACUGUUUACCAAAAACAUAGGUUUCUGCUAAGUCGCAAGACGAUGUAUAGGAGCUGACGCCUGCCCGGUGCUGGAAGGUUAAGGGGAUCUGUUAGAGCAAUCGAAGCAGUGAACUUAAGCCCCAGUAAACGGCGGCCGUAACUAUAACGGUCCUAAGGUAGCGAAAUUCCUUGUCGGGUAAGUUCCGACCCGCACGAAAGGCGUAACGAUUUGGGCACUGUCUCAACAACAGACUCGGUGAAAUUGUAAUUCCGGUGAAGAUGCCGGAUACCUGCGACAGGACGGAAAGACCCCAUGGAGCUUUACUGUAGCUUGACAUUGGGUCUUGGUACUACAUGUACAGGAUAGGUGGGAGGCUUUGAAACCAGGACGCCAGUUUUGGCGGAGCCAUCCUUGGGAUACCACCCUUGUAGUACUGGGACUCUAACCAUAGGCCAUGAAUCUGGUCUUGGGACACUGUCAGGUGGGCAGUUUGACUGGGGCGGUCGCCUCCCAAAAGGUAACGGAGGCGCUCAAAGGUUCUCUCAGUACGGUCGGAAAUCGUACGUAGAGUGUAAAGGCAAAAGAGAGCUUGAUUGCAAGACAUACAGGUCGAGCAAGGAUGAAAAUCGGACUUAGUGAUCCGGUGGUUCUGCGUGGAAGGGCCAUCGCUCAACGGAUAAAAGCUACCCUGGGGAUAACAGGCUUAUCUCCCCCAAGAGUCCACAUCGACGGGGAGGUUUGGCACCUCGAUGUCGGCUCAUCACAUCCUGGGGCUGUAGUAGGUCCCAAGGGUUGGGCUGUUCGCCCAUUAAAGUGGUACGCGAGCUGGGUUCAGAACGUCGUGAGACAGUUCGGUCCCUAUCCGUCGCAGGCGUAGGAAAUUUGAGAAGACCUGUCCUUAGUACGAGAGGACCGGGAUGGAC
This 2023-nucleotide ribosomal RNA is filed under the name Clostridioides difficile. RNAcentral describes it as "bacterial LSU rRNA". It matches the Rfam family "Bacterial large subunit ribosomal RNA", at positions 662 to 2702 of the family's 2925-position model. Lineage: Bacteria; Bacillati; Bacillota; Clostridia; Peptostreptococcales; Peptostreptococcaceae. The record is from RNAcentral.